CUUUUUGAGAAAGUCCUAAUCGCAUUUCAAAGAGAGAAAACUCACCAGCCAUGGCAGUCGCUUCUCGCAUCGCAUCCAAAUACAAAUUGACAGAAGAAGGAAAAUAGACCAACUCAAGUUCAUAAACUUUUAAGAGAAAUGGAAUCAAAGAGAAGAGGAUAGGAUCUGAGCAUCCUGAGUUUUUUCCUAAAAAUCGUGAGUUGGGUCGUCUCUCUUUC
Molecule: long non-coding RNA, 218 nt
Organism: Vicia villosa (hairy vetch)
Lineage: Eukaryota; Viridiplantae; Streptophyta; Magnoliopsida; Fabales; Fabaceae
Exons: 3
Source: RefSeq, a predicted model, not a curated record